This is a long non-coding RNA of Setaria italica (foxtail millet), 1429 nucleotides long. RefSeq lists it as uncharacterized. The transcript is spliced from 2 exons. Lineage: Eukaryota; Viridiplantae; Streptophyta; Magnoliopsida; Poales; Poaceae. The record is from RefSeq and is a predicted model, not a curated record.
CCCCCUUCCUCACCUCCGUUCCUUCCACGACUGCAAAUCCCGUCGCGCCCAGCCCGUAGCACCAACUCUCCGCUAGCGACUCCCGCAGCAAGGAAGCGGUGCGGCAGGGAGAUCUGGUUGACGAGAUGAGUUCCAGAGAGUACGGCGAGGUGGUCGACGUGAACUUCGUGCGCACCGGAAAAUCCAGGUGCUUUGAGUUCCUCAAUUGAUGGUCAGGGAUCACGAGUCUUGCAGUUGGUAAUCUUAACAGAGCUAAGAUUCUUGGGAGGAUCAUGUCAACCAUCUGGGCAAGUACACUAACUCAAUUUUCAUGUCUCUAAUCGUGGCCUCUUGAGAAACUCAGGUUCAAGAUAAUUUCUGUUGAUAAUACUGAAACUAAGGACUAUCGAUCCACUUUAUUUCGAGGGGGAAAAAACUAAUCUUCUAAGGUCAGGUUGUGUUUUUUUUUUAUCGGAGAAAUACUGCAAAGAUGCUAUUAUGAGUUUAUGACAUAAUUCUUAUUUCAAACUUCUUAAGGAUACAUUUCUGUUCAUUUAGUGAAGAAACAUUCAUUCACUGUAGGAUCUACAUACAAAUUGGCUUCUAGAUGUUCAAAUGCUGAAUGCCAUGCCAUCAAUCUACUAAGGUGGCUGCACAUCUAUUUGGCAUGUGGAUAACCUAGGGCUGGUAUAAGUAGAGCACCAGAACUCUUCAACACCGUUCAUCAGAAGCCUUCAGUCCUUGAAUUUUGGAGGUAAUCUCAUUGUCCACUGUUCUGUUUUCCUCUGUUAUCUUACCCUUCUACAGCUCCAUUUUUUUUAAAUGCCUUUUACCUUAUUCCUGCUAAAGUACUUGAGCCGGGCAUUCUUUGGUGAUAAUGAACUGAGUUGUACCUUCAUCAACUCCUAGCGUUAAUUUUGAGGACUGAGGAGUAACUUGAAAGUUGCAUCUAGAAAGCACGUCAGCCCAUGGAAAACCAGCGCUCUUGCAUCUAGAAAGCGACCAUAUUCACUCCUACAGACAACACCAACUGCUUGAUUACUAACUGAGCAGAUAUUCCCCUGACAGAGUAGUCUUCAUUCUUCAGCCAGCCAGCAGGGUGUGGGAUCCAUCUCUGCUUUGAUGUUAUGUCACUAGAGGGCGGCAAGCUUGGCCAUUUCUUCACUGUUUAGAGAUGGUUGUGUGUUAUGUAAGCAGGUGGUGGGUGUGAAUGGCUUACUGAUCUAAGAUCUGUAGGAACAACUGGUUUAGUGGUGUAUUUCUUCAUUUUUAUCGCAAUUAACUAGCCCCUCCGGGCCCUGGCCUCCACGCUUUGUGUUGGGAUCCAUCGUGAGCCUAGUUGGGUUGCAAUGAAACCAACCCAUCAUGCAUGAAGGAUUGCAUGCAAUGUCGUGGAUCAGAUAUGCGACCCAACUAGGCCCAUUAUAUUGAACAAGAGCAGAUGAGAAUU